AAAUGCACAAUCAAAAAAUGCAAAAAGAAAGCAGCAGAAAACAUACAGCUGGAUGAAGGGAGCUACAUUGAAGAUUUGGCUGAAGAUUCCACAUACAAAUAUUUUGGAAUCGAAGAAAAUGAGAGAGAGAGAAACACAAGAAUACCUAAACCAUUUU
Molecule: long non-coding RNA, 157 nt
Organism: Thalassophryne amazonica
Lineage: Eukaryota; Metazoa; Chordata; Actinopteri; Batrachoidiformes; Batrachoididae
Exons: 3
Source: RefSeq, a predicted model, not a curated record